This 2836-nucleotide ribosomal RNA is filed under the name Streptococcus pyogenes. RNAcentral's name for it is "bacterial SSU rRNA". The stretch from base 1293 to 2836 matches the Rfam family "Bacterial small subunit ribosomal RNA". The record is from RNAcentral. Lineage: Bacteria; Bacillati; Bacillota; Bacilli; Lactobacillales; Streptococcaceae.
AGAGUUUGAUCCUGGCUCAGGACGAACGCUGGCGGCGUGCCUAAUACAUGCAAGUAGAACGCUGAGAACUGGUGCUUGCACCGGUUCAAGGAGUUGCGAACGGGUGAGUAACGCGUAGGUAACCUACCUCAUAGCGGGGGAUAACUAUUGGAAACGAUAGCUAAUACCGCAUAAGAGAGACUAACGCAUGUUAGUAAUUUAAAAGGGGCAAUUGCUCCACUAUGAGAUGGACCUGCGUUGUAUUAGCUAGUUGGUGAGGUAAAGGCUCACCAAGGCGACGAUACAUAGCCGACCUGAGAGGGUGAUCGGCCACACUGGGACUGAGACACGGCCCAGACUCCUACGGGAGGCNAGAUGGAAACCUAGGAUUAAUAGAAGCUAAAUAGUUCACAACUAAAACCUACAGGGAUGAUUAUACGUAUUUUAAAAGUGGGAAAAGCUAUUCAUGUUUAGAGGUGACAUGAUGAAAAUGAGAUUAAGUGAUAGAUACGACAGUCAUUAUGCUAACAAAAGUAUCUAUUACAGUUCCUCUUUAAGUAAAUCUUACGUAAAAUUAGUUUGAAAAAAGAUUAGUCCCAAUUCUGGGCUAGAAAUUCUCAAAAAAUAUGAAAAAGCGCGUUUUCAGAAUAUAAAGCGCGUUUUUUUCUUUUUCCAUUUAACAAUAAAAAACUCAUGACGAACAUGGUAUCAUAAGAGAAUUUUUACUUUUUAAAAAAAGGUCAAAGACUUUCUGACACCAAAUAAAAAUAGAAUUUUUUCUAACUAAAAAUAAUAGCACAAUCUUUGGCAGCAAUCUGAAUUGUUUUUCCAUAAAAGAUUUAAGCACUUACGUUUGCUUAAAAUAUAGGUUAUGUGACGUGCGUGCAAGAUCAGAUUAUAACAAAAUAGUUCCAAAUAAGCCUAUCACUGAGAAAGCAUCACAGAAGGGUUAAACUUUUUUUGUAUUAGCGUUUUAUCAGUACAACCUAACACUUAUUUUUAUAAAAAAAUAAAAAAGCUAUUGACAAUCUUAUACAAGAUAACGUAUACUAAUAAAGCUGUUGUAAAUAUGGUAAAGCAAUAGAUGCUAUCAGGAAAAAAUGUGAAAACACUUAUUGAAAAAAGAUGAAAAAGUAGUUGACAGGCUGUGAGAAACCUGAUAGAAUAAAGAAGUUGUCUCUUAGGAGACGUUAAGACCUUUGAGAACUGAAUAAGACGAACCAAACGUGAGGGUGAUAUGGAGACAUAUUACCCGUCAAGAAACGAGAAAUAAAUCUGUCAGCGACAGAAGGAACGAGUAAGUUCAAACGCAAAUUAAAGAGAGUUUGAUCCUGGCUCAGGACGAACGCUGGCGGCGUGCCUAAUACAUGCAAGUAGAACGCUGAGAACUGGUGCUUGCACCGGUUCAAGGAGUUGCGAACGGGUGAGUAACGCGUAGGUAACCUACCUCAUAGCGGGGGAUAACUAUUGGAAACGAUAGCUAAUACCGCAUAAGAGAGACUAACGCAUGUUAGUAAUUUAAAAGGGGCAAUUGCUCCACUAUGAGAUGGACCUGCGUUGUAUUAGCUAGUUGGUGAGGUAAAGGCUCACCAAGGCGACGAUACAUAGCCGACCUGAGAGGGUGAUCGGCCACACUGGGACUGAGACACGGCCCAGACUCCUACGGGAGGCAGCAGUAGGGAAUCUUCGGCAAUGGGGGCAACCCUGACCGAGCAACGCCGCGUGAGUGAAGAAGGUUUUCGGAUCGUAAAGCUCUGUUGUUAGAGAAGAAUGAUGGUGGGAGUGGAAAAUCCACCAAGUGACGGUAACUAACCAGAAAGGGACGGCUAACUACGUGCCAGCAGCCGCGGUAAUACGUAGGUCCCGAGCGUUGUCCGGAUUUAUUGGGCGUAAAGCGAGCGCAGGCGGUUUUUUAAGUCUGAAGUUAAAGGCAUUGGCUCAACCAAUGUACGCUUUGGAAACUGGAGAACUUGAGUGCAGAAGGGGAGAGUGGAAUUCCAUGUGUAGCGGUGAAAUGCGUAGAUAUAUGGAGGAACACCGGUGGCGAAAGCGGCUCUCUGGUCUGUAACUGACGCUGAGGCUCGAAAGCGUGGGGAGCAAACAGGAUUAGAUACCCUGGUAGUCCACGCCGUAAACGAUGAGUGCUAGGUGUUAGGCCCUUUCCGGGGCUUAGUGCCGGAGCUAACGCAUUAAGCACUCCGCCUGGGGAGUACGACCGCAAGGUUGAAACUCAAAGGAAUUGACGGGGGCCCGCACAAGCGGUGGAGCAUGUGGUUUAAUUCGAAGCAACGCGAAGAACCUUACCAGGUCUUGACAUCCCGAUGCCCGCUCUAGAGAUAGAGUUUUACUUCGGUACAUCGGUGACAGGUGGUGCAUGGUUGUCGUCAGCUCGUGUCGUGAGAUGUUGGGUUAAGUCCCGCAACGAGCGCAACCCCUAUUGUUAGUUGCCAUCAUUAAGUUGGGCACUCUAGCGAGACUGCCGGUAAUAAACCGGAGGAAGGUGGGGAUGACGUCAAAUCAUCAUGCCCCUUAUGACCUGGGCUACACACGUGCUACAAUGGUUGGUACAACGAGUCGCAAGCCGGUGACGGCAAGCUAAUCUCUUAAAGCCAAUCUCAGUUCGGAUUGUAGGCUGCAACUCGCCUACAUGAAGUCGGAAUCGCUAGUAAUCGCGGAUCAGCACGCCGCGGUGAAUACGUUCCCGGGCCUUGUACACACCGCCCGUCACACCACGAGAGUUUGUAACACCCGAAGUCGGUGAGGUAACCUAUUAGGAGCCAGCCGCCUAAGGUGGGAUAGAUGAUUGGGGUGAAGUCGUAACAAGGUAGCCGUAUCGGAAGGUGCGGCUGGAUCACCU